Heterocephalus glaber (naked mole-rat) is the source of this 1558-nucleotide long non-coding RNA. The record is from Ensembl. NCBI's taxonomy places the organism in Eukaryota, Metazoa, Chordata, Mammalia, Rodentia, Bathyergidae.
ACCCCAAGUUGCUGCAAUCUCUAUCUCUAACUAGCCUUGGACUUGUGAGGUGCCCUCUUUGCUUGAGAGGCCACUCUGUCCAUACACCCUGGGGUGUGGUAACUGAGGGGUGUCCCCAGUCAUGUUGGGAGGAAAGCAGACAGACCACAGAGUUCUGUACUGGACACAGUCUGUACAGUGCCUGACUCACAGCACUGGAGGAUUGUCCAUCCUUGUUCCCAGAGAGGGGCUAGGCCAGCCAAACCCCUCACUUCAUACUCUGACAAUGGAUCGAAGGGGCCUGGAGCAAACUGCAAUACCCCUGUCCGUGGACAUCUCCAUGUUCUGUGAGGAACCCGGUAUGAACAUGGAUGUCACAGUGAGCUCCAGGCCUUCGACUUUUGGCUGGGUCCUCCAGCGCUUCAGCAUGCACACAGACCUUUCCCAUUCUUCCACCGCUGACUCUACAGGUGGCCAUUGUGUGGUCUGUGGCAAGGUAGAAAAAGGGACCAGAAUGGGAGCCAAAAUCCUGGAGUCCUCAUUGUUACUCUUCCAUAAACCAGCUGUGUGACAAGGGUUCAUUGCAGCAGUUGAUUCACAUCCUCCAACCCUGCUUUGUGUAAUAUGUGUCAAUCAGCUAUUCAAUAAAGCCAUGAAAUUGCCAAAACUGUUUCACCAUAUGGAGACCAAGCAUCCUGGAUCAAAAGACAAGCCUUGGCAUUUUUAUUUUUUAAAGAAAAAAAUGUGAACACAAAGAAAAAAGCUGGUGCAUGAUCAACUAUCUCAGCUUUUGAGAGUUUGAGUUUAUUUCCCAACCACAAAAGGCCCCCAAACUGGAAAGGAAUGAACACAUAACCUACUUGUAAUGACCCAGGUAAAUUAACUUUGUGCUGGAAGAGGAUCAACUUCUGAAGAUUGUAAAUGAUAGUGGCCUUAAAAGUAUGUCUGAGACAACUUCAAAUUGUCAUGCAUUCUGGAUUAAAGUCAAAGUGGAAUAUCCUGAAAUUGCCACAAAAAGACAAAAGCCUUGUUCCAUUUCCAACAUUCUGUCUCUGUGAAGCAGGGUUUUCUGUAGUAACAGCAACACAGAUCGGGUAUCAUUGUCUCGCAUCAUCUCAGAUGGGUCCAAUUAGCUGCAAGAAACAAGUUCAGGGCUCCUGUUGAUUCUGCAUUAUGACUCGGGACUCACCGCGGACAAGCCUGGGAACUCCCCCUGGCGCAACAGCUAAAUGGCAAGCAGAUGGCUGGCAUGCCAGAGACCUCCAUCCCCGCGGUUUCCGGAUGGGAAGACUGGGAGCUGGGUCGUGGCAUCCUCUGCUGAAAUGAGCGAGUUUCGAAAGCAGGAGUCCCCUUUCAGCAGGCGGGGAUGCGAAGAGCCAGACUAGAGUCCAGAAAGGGAAGCCCCCGCCACGGAAGGUUGUGGGCGCUAAGAGGCGCUAACCUGUCACCCACUUCAGAGGAAAGGCGUCCUUCGCCCGCCCUUCGCCGGUGAGACGCGGACGCCGCCUUCUCCAGCCCAGCUUCUCAAGCUCCAGAAAGACUCCAGGACUCCCCUUGUUUCCAAGCUCUCCAUCGCUGC